GGGUCAGUAGGUUGGUCGUGCCACCGGUACGUACUGGUCUCACUGAUUCCUCCUUCCUGAAGAACCGUAAUGCCAUUAAUUUGGUGUUGCGGGGAAACAGGACUGUUACUUUGAAAAAAUUAGAGUGUUUAAAGCAAGCUAACGCUUGAAUACAUUAGCAUGGAAUAAUGAAAUAGGUCGAUCGAUCCCAUUUUGUUGGUUUCUAGGAUUGACGUA
Molecule: ribosomal RNA, 216 nt
Filed under: Glomeromycotina sp.
Lineage: Eukaryota; Fungi; Glomeromycota
Description: partial small subunit ribosomal RNA
Rfam family: Eukaryotic small subunit ribosomal RNA (bases 40-216)
Source: RNAcentral